This 468-nucleotide ribosomal RNA is filed under the name uncultured bacterium. RNAcentral describes it as "partial 16S ribosomal RNA". It matches the Rfam family "Bacterial small subunit ribosomal RNA", at positions 28 to 507 of the family's 1533-position model. The record is from RNAcentral.
GACGAACGCUGGCGGCGUGCUUAACACAUGCAAGUCGAACGGAAAGGCCCUGCUUUUGUGGGGUGCUCGAGUGGCGAACGGGUGAGUAACACGUGAGUAACCUGCCUUUGACUUUGUGAUAACUUCAGGAAACUGGGGCUAAUACCGGAUAGGAGCUCCUGCUGCAUGGUGGGGGUUGGAAAGUUUCGGCGGUUGGGGAUGGACUCGCGGCUUAUCAGCUUGUUGGUUGGGUAGUGGCUUACCAAGGCUUUGACGGGUAGCCGGCCUGAGAGGGGGACCGGGCACAUUGGGACUACGAUACGGACCAGAGUCCUACGGGAGGCAGCAGUGGGGAAUAUUGCACAAUGGGCGGAAGCCUGAUGAAGCGGCGCCGCGUGCGGGAUGACGGCCUUCGGGUGGUAAACCGCUUUCGCCUGUGACGAAGCGUGAGUGACGGUAAUGGGUAAAGAAGCACCGGCUAACUACGUG